GUAAUGGGUCCACAUCCAAGGACUUAAAAAAACCCAGAGAGAGUUAUUUACACAGUGACUCUAAUGAACAUGACAAAUAUUACAUCAGUUCACUGCAGGCAUUCUCAUGCACCACUGUUAUGUUCCCUGUGUAGCUCUGCCUUCAAAUCAAGUGGGGGAUCAGCAGCAGUUGAAAAAUUUGGCUGUUUGGUGCCAUUUUCUGGGUUGACAUCACUCCAUCUAAUGCUGUUACUUAGAGCCAGUAGAGCAAGGGCCAAUUUCUGCCUGAAUUGUACCCACACCAGCUCUUUCCAUUUAUAAGAAUUCUUUCCAAACUGCUUAUAACCCAGGUCAGGCAGCUCAGCCAGGAAUUCAUCCCAGUGUUAUUUUACCAGUCUCACUGUAAGCUUGGCUGCAGAGGCAGCCCUGAGACUGUGAUCUCCAGCCCACAGAGGAGUUUAUUCCUGCCAGUGAGGUCACAGAACAGUGACCUCCAUGUGAUGCCACUGGUGAAAGCAACAUAGACCCAGCUCUUUAUUGAGCAGCAGAUCUUUGCCCAGCAGAUCCACUGGGCAAAGAUCUGAUUUUUUUGUGCUGUAUCAAGUCUUUUGCAUCAGUGAAUAACGUGUUCACUUGUAUACUGGUAAUACAUUUCAUUCAGGCACUUUGGACCAAAACCUGCGCUCCCAGCAUCCACACAACUCCCAGCUGCUUAGUGGGAUUUGAUGAACACAUCAGAGGGCAGAAUUUGACCCUGGCCUGGAAUGAGUGCCGACAUUUCAUGGCUUUCUCUGUGCCAAGAUUUCACAUCCUGAAGUAUAUCCUGGAAUGAAUGUGCCCAUCAAAUACUACAGAACAACAGAAGCAAGGAUUAUCCAGCUGCUUUCUUUAAAAAGGAGCAUAAGGGACACUAUACAAACAGCCACGGAGCAUUGUGCAGGAAUGUCAGCAGUGAAGACUCCUCACAGCCCUGCCCCAGGAACCUGCAGAGACAAUUAAGAGACUUUGACAUGGUUCAGUGAGGAAACACAACAUGGAAUUACAGAAUCAUUAAGGUUGGAUAAAACCUCUAAGAUCAUCAAGUUCAACCAUUAACCCAGCACUGCCAGGUCCACCAGCAUCUUUCAGAAGAAGGCUGAGACUGGCAGCUACAGCAGUGCACCCUUGGCUGCGUUGUCCCUUGGAACUUCAUGCAACUGCAUUCUUUCAGGACUCACAUACGCUUUGAAAGUGCAUCUGCAUUUGAAUUUCUGUUCCAGAUAGAUCCAAUUAUUUCUCAACAUACUGUAAUUUCCCUUGCUCAAGUAUUCAAGGGAAAAUGACCAAUAUUAACAAGAGUACAUAUAUCUAGUUAAUGAGGAACAGGAUAUCUUUUCCAAAGAUUUUCCUUGAAAGCCCAUAUUUAUGGGUAACGUCGUUUCAAUUCUCGCUCUAUAUUAGCAGCCAGAAAAGCAGUAAAAAUCCCAUUUGCACCUAGACUUUUAGUAUCACCAUAAACCCAGGUAAUCUCCCAGGCAGUUAAGAAGGCAGAACUGGGAAAGAUCAGGCCUCUGGGAGCUUUUCUAGUGGGACAACUGAUCACCUCCUUCAGCAAUUCUGUUUUGGGGUCAGUGUAGUCGAGAUAACACUGCUGCACUCCUAUGGGAGAUGUGGGAAGAGUAGCUGGGAGGGUAUUUGUCUUUGAGGAAGAUAAUUUCAUGCUGAGGGAAACCUAUUUUGCCAGUCAGUGAUGUAAAAACAGGUAAAAUAAAUAAUUUAAUCACAACAUUUUUCAGACAUCUAAAUAUUCAAGAAUUUUGACUGGUAACUGGCUUCAAAAGAAGCCUUACACAGAAAUCAAUGAGAUUUCAAUAGAAAUCAAUAGAAUGUGACAAAAUAUUACAUUUUGGAUUCCCUGAUACCUGCAACUAUUGCCAAUUUGUUACUCCAAUAAAGCUGUUACCCAUCACACCCAGCAUACUUCUGGCACAUGAAAGACACCAUCUUCCUGGACAAGAUUUUACCUUCUCUGCAUGAUUUCUACCCCAAAAAGUGUCCAAUCCUCUGAUCAAAGUGCAUUCAGAACUGUCAUUAUGUAAGAUCCAACCUACUGCAUGCAAUAGCCUGAACUAAAUGACAUUAAAUUAAAUUACAUGUGUGCCAUCACAUUCCAACACUAUUUAAAGAAAGAAGUGCACGGAAAAUUGAGCUUACGGGUCUUUCUUGCUGAAUCUUCGAUGAAAAGGGAAGAUAUGUCCU
This is a long non-coding RNA of Passer domesticus (house sparrow), 2217 nucleotides long. RefSeq lists it as uncharacterized. Lineage: Eukaryota; Metazoa; Chordata; Aves; Passeriformes; Passeridae. The record is from RefSeq and is a predicted model, not a curated record. The transcript is spliced from 7 exons.